UACGUAGGGGGCAAGCGUUGUCCGGGUUUAUUGGGCGUAAAGAGCUCGUAGGUGGUUCGGUAAGUCGGAUGUGAAAUCUCCAGGCUCAACCUGGAGGGGUCAUUCGAUACUGCCGUGACUAGAGUUCGGUAGGGGAGUGUGGAAUUCCUGGUGGAGCGGUGAAAUGCGCAGAUAUCAGGAGGAACACCCGUAGCGAAGGCGGCACUCUGGGCCGAUACUGACACUGAGGAGCGAAAGCGUGGGGAGCGAACAGG
This 254-nucleotide ribosomal RNA is filed under the name uncultured bacterium. RNAcentral describes it as "partial 16S ribosomal RNA". It matches the Rfam family "Bacterial small subunit ribosomal RNA", at positions 524 to 776 of the family's 1533-position model. The record is from RNAcentral.